GGUCAUGUGGCCUUCGACACCUGUGAGUCACAACGUUUAGUUUGGGAAAUUCCUAUAAAUAUCUCCCUCAAGCGCCCUUCAUCUUCAUCGGACUCCAAUCAUUUGAAUCACAUUCGUUAAUCACCCAGCCUUCUCGCUGCGACGUCGUUUUAGCCCCCGUUAUUUGCUCUGCGACGUCGUUUUGGUUGCUGGAGUUUCUUCUACACGAAAAUGUUUCGUCUCGUUGUAGUUGCUCUGUUGGUGUUGUGUGUGUCGGGUGCCGGCGUCGUACAUGGAGCCAAUGCUCCGGCACCGUCUCCUAAGUCGCCGACGUCACCAUCGCCGGCAUCGACUCCACCGGCCAAGUCUCCAGAGUCGGCAUCUCCAGCCAAGACUCCAGAGUCGGCAUCUCCGGUCAAGUCUCCAGUGUCACCACCUGCGGCUAGUCCCGUCCAAUCCCCAUCAGAAUCGCCAUCUUCUUCGCCGCCCACAGCCUCUCCCGUGACGCCUCCGAGUGCCACUCCGGCUGUGAGUCCAACUACACAAGUGUCUUCUCCGGUUCCGUCUCCCGAAUCCACUACUCCACCAUCCGCAUCUCCAUCUGCAACUCCGGCAGCCACUCCGGCGACGUCUCCAGAAGCAUCGACUCCUUCGGCGACGCCUCCAGAAGCAUCGACCCCUACCGCCGAGUCUCCAGCAGAAGUUCCGGCCACUGCUACGACUCCAGAGGCACCCGGAAGCAUUCCUUCCAGUUCCGCAACUCCUGCAGAGUCGCCGGAAAUUUUCCCGUCAAGCAGUCCUCCGACACCAGCGAGUUCGUCUCCUGAAACUGCAGAGGGUCCGGUGAACGACGAUUCGGGUUCGGAGCCAGUAUACCGGACUGGAGUCAUAUUGAGCGGGUUGGCUCUAUUGGCCGCUUUGGCUAUUUAAAAUUAUUUUUUCCCUCCUGUCUAUUAUUUUCACUUUUAGGGCACGUAUUCUUCACACCUCACGAAAAAGAAAAUAGCAAGAGGGGGAGGGAGUGUGUGAUUCUUACUACGUUGUAUAAUUUUGUUUGGUAAUCGAUAUUAAAUAAUAUAAUAUUUAUUAAUUUAAUUUAUUAUUAUUAUUAUUAAUUUAGUCUACUUUCUCUGAAAAAAAAUAUUUUUGUAACACGAAAUCAUUGAUAAACAGGCUCUGGGCUCAGCCAAGAGUUGUGGGGACCAAAGCACUUUGGUUGUCGCAACGCCAAAUC
RNAcentral lists this long non-coding RNA (1213 nucleotides) under Vitis vinifera (wine grape). RNAcentral describes it as "long non-coding RNA (VVIN_LNC006505)". Lineage: Eukaryota; Viridiplantae; Streptophyta; Magnoliopsida; Vitales; Vitaceae. The record is from RNAcentral.